UACGUAGGGUGCGAGCGUUAAUCGGAAUUACUGGGCGUAAAGCGUGCGCAGGCGGUUUUGUAAGCCAGAUGUGAAAGCCCCGGGCUUAACCUGGGAAUGGCAUUUGGGACUGCAAGGCUUGAGUGCGGCAGAGGAGACUGGAAUUCCUGGUGUAGCAGUGAAAUGCGUUGAUAUCGAUAGGAACUCCGGUGGCGAAGGCGGCACACUGGACCACCACUGACGCUGAUGCGCGAAAGCCAGGGGAGCAAACGGG
RNAcentral lists this ribosomal RNA (253 nucleotides) under uncultured bacterium. Its description in RNAcentral is "partial 16S ribosomal RNA". It matches the Rfam family "Bacterial small subunit ribosomal RNA", at positions 524 to 776 of the family's 1533-position model. The record is from RNAcentral.